UACCGAGGUCUCAAGCGUUGUUCGGAUUCAUUGGGCGUAAAGGGUGCGUAGGUGGCGGGGUAAGUCAGGUGUGAAAUUUCGGAGCUUAACUCCGAAACUGCAUUUGAUACUGCCUUGCUUGAGGACUGGAGAGGAGACUGGAAUUCACGGUGUAGCAGUGAAAUGCGUAGAUAUCGUGAGGAAGACCAGUGGCGAAGGCGGGUCUCUGGACAGUUCCUGACACUGAGGCACGAAGGCCAGGGGAGCAAACGGG
Molecule: ribosomal RNA, 253 nt
Filed under: uncultured bacterium
Lineage: Bacteria
Description: partial 16S ribosomal RNA
Rfam family: Bacterial small subunit ribosomal RNA
Source: RNAcentral